Molecule: ribosomal RNA, 866 nt
Filed under: uncultured Actinomycetes bacterium
Lineage: Bacteria; Bacillati; Actinomycetota; Actinomycetes
Description: SSU rRNA
Rfam family: Bacterial small subunit ribosomal RNA
Source: RNAcentral
UCAUGGCUCAGGACGAACGCUGGCGGCGGGCCUAACACAUGCAAGUCGAACGCACUCGACCUUCGGGUCACAUGAGUGAGUGGCGAACGGGUGAGUAACACGUGAGGAACCUGCCCCGAAGACUGGAAUAACCCGGGGAAACUCGGGCUAAUACCGGAUGCCCCCAUCGGAUCGCAUGGUCCGGUGAGGAAAUGCUCCGGCGCUUCGGGAGGGUCUCACGGCCUAUCAGCUAGUUGGUGAGGUAACGGCUCACCAAGGCAACGACGGGUAGCUGGUCUGAGAGGACGAUCAGCCACACUGGGACUGAGACACGGCCCAGACUCCUACGGGAGGCAGCAGUGGGGAAUCUUGCGCAAUGGGCGAAAGCCUGACGCAGCCACGCCGCGUGAGGGAUGAAGGCUCUCGGGUUGUAAACCUCUUUCAGCAGGGACGAAAAUGACGGUACCUGCAGAAGAAGCUCCGGCCAACUACGUGCCAGCAGCCGCGGUAACACGUAGGGAGCGAGCGUUGUCCGGAUUUAUUGGGCGUAAAGAGCUCGUAGGCGGUUCGGUAAGUUAGGUGUGAAAGCUCGAGGCUCAACCUCGAGAAGCCACCUAAUACUGCUGUGACUUGAGUCCGGUAGAGGAGUGUGGAAUUCCUGGUGUAGCGGUGAAAUGCGCAGAUAUCAGGAGGAACACCUACAGCGAAGGCAGCACUCUGGGCCGGUACUGACGCUGAGGAGCGAAAAGCGUGGGGAGCGAACAGGAUUAGAUACCCUGGUAGUCCACGCCGUAAACGUUGGGCACUAGGUGUGGGGUCGAAUUAACCGAUUCCGUGCCGUAGCUAACGCAUWARAGUGCCCCGCCUGGGGAGUACGGCCGCAGGCU